UUUGUUUUUUGUUUUUUCAGAGCUCAUAUGUAAGGUUGAAUUUUAGCUUAAAAAAGUAUUUGGUAUUAUAAUAUAACCAUUAUAUAAUAUUUAACUUAAGCUUUUUUGUUGUUGUUUAAUUGCAGAUUGAGCUUAACCUUGUGAUCAAGGGCAAACCGUCAAAUACGUUUGCUAGCGCUGCGCACGAAGUAAGGUUUUCAUAGGGUUUAGCAACAAACAGACCAUAUCCAGGACAACAUGCUUUUCAUAGCAGUAUAAUAGCACUACAAUGCGACACAAUGUGAUAUGAAUCAUGUGUUUUUGUUUGUUUUUAUUUUUUUUUUGCAUUUCAGGAACCAGAAUCGAUGGACUGGACUGCUUACGGUGAACAACCAGUUCCUGGCCGUGAAAGAAGAGGAUGACAAUCAUAACAUUUCUGCUUGGGCAAUUACAGUUGAUCCUGCAACAAUUUGGUUUUUGUUUUUUUUUUUAGAUAAUUUUGUAAAUUUCAUUUCUCAAACCCUAAGCUGCUGUAAUCAAGUGUUACUAUAAAAGCAAGUAGAAGUCAAUUUUUUUUAAUGCAGCAGCUAAUUUCUUCCUGUUGGCUUUAAAGCGGGUUGACGGACCUUUUUUCACAAGAAUAUAUCUUGAAAAGUACUUGAUAUAUGAAACUAAAAUUACAUAGUACAUAUUACAUAUACAUAUUACAUACAUAUAAAAUUACAUAGUACAUAUUACAUAUUUUGUACAAAUUUUAAAGACAUUACACAGAUUUGGGACCAAUCAGGAAAAAUAAUCUCUAACCCAGCUCAAAUUAAUUAUGUUUUUUAUGCUAUUUUAUAAACCCCUUUAUAAAUCUGAAUCACAGUAGUAAAACUCAAAUAAAAUACUUUUCUUUUGGGAACUUAAGCUUACCAAGGGUAGGCCAAUGGUAAUAAAAAAUUAGAUGCUCCAAUAUAUAUGUCCAAACUGAACCAUAAUAUGUCUAUUGCAAAUUGGAGAAUGUUCUAGAAAUUUAAAUAGAUUAUUAUUUUUAUUCUAAUUUGAGUACAGUUUUUGAGAUGUUCAUUUUCAAGCAUUGCCAUAUAUAGCAUCUGAUAUGCAUUUUUUCCCCUUUUUUUGUGACAAGUAUUCUAUAUGGUUUAUUUUUUGGUAUUGUAAAAUUCAACUACAUAUCAUUCAGAAAUUAAAUUGCUGUGAACAAACAUUGGACUUUUUUUUCAUAUUUUAACUAGCCAAAACUUGAUGGUAAAAAACAACAAGAGAAAAUACAGACUUUUAUCUUUAAUGGAGUUUGAAAUAUUUAUGUUCAAAUACUGAACAUUGAUGUGUUC
Long non-coding RNA from Astatotilapia calliptera (eastern happy), 1313 nucleotides. The record is from Ensembl. NCBI's taxonomy places the organism in Eukaryota, Metazoa, Chordata, Actinopteri, Cichliformes, Cichlidae.